GACGAACGCUGGCGGCGUGCCUAAUACAUGCAAGUUGAGCGCUGAAGGUUGGUACUUGUACCAACUGGAUGAGCAGCGAACGGGUGAGUAACGCGUGGGGAAUCUGCCUUUGAGCGGGGGACAACAUUUGGAAACGAAUGCUAAUACCGUAUAAAAACUUUAAACACAAGUUUUAAGUUUGAAAGAUGCAAUUGCAUCACUCAAAGAUGAUCCCGCGUUGUAUUAGCUAGUUGGUGAGGUAAAGGCUCACCAAGGCGAUGAUACAUAGCCGACCUGGGAGGGUGAUCGGCCACAUUGGGACUGAGACACGGCCCAAACUCCUACGGGAGGCAGCAGUAGGGAAUCUUCGGCAAUGGACGAAAGUCUGACCGAGCAACGCCGCGUGAGUGAAGAAGGUUUUCGGAUCGUAAAACUCUGUUGGUAGAGAAGAACGUUGGUGAGAGUGGAAAGCUCAUCAAGUGACGGUAACUACCCAGAAAGGGACGGCUAACUACGUG
Molecule: ribosomal RNA, 497 nt
Filed under: uncultured bacterium
Lineage: Bacteria
Description: partial 16S ribosomal RNA
Rfam family: Bacterial small subunit ribosomal RNA
Source: RNAcentral